AUUUGACUCAACGCGGGAAAUCUUACCGGGUCCGGACACACUGAGGAUUGACAGGCAAUAUCUAAAUCGUUUAUAAUAAUUCCUAUUAUAAUACGCUUUUAGUGUUAAAUAUGCUAGUCCUUUCAUGAUUAUGUGAUAGGUGGUGCAUGGCCGUUCUUAGUUCGUGGAGUGAUCUGUCUGCUUAAUUGCGUUUCACUAAGGGCCCAUAAAUUCAAGGUAUGUUAGCUAUCGUUUCUCAAUUGACCCCUUGUCUUCGAUAAGCGCGUGUCUUUUAGAGUUUAAACAUUGCGCAUGCUGUUGGGUCCUGAAAGCAACGAACGUGACCGCAACGUCUUAUUGCCUUUAUCUUGCUAUAUUUUAAUUUAAUUAAAAAUAGCUAACAGAGGCUAAUUUAAAAUAGACGGACCGCUG
Molecule: ribosomal RNA, 411 nt
Filed under: Neogloboquadrina dutertrei
Lineage: Eukaryota; Foraminifera; Rotaliida; Globorotaliidae
Description: SSU rRNA
Rfam family: Eukaryotic small subunit ribosomal RNA
Source: RNAcentral